This 544-nucleotide ribosomal RNA is filed under the name uncultured bacterium. RNAcentral's name for it is "partial 16S ribosomal RNA". It matches the Rfam family "Bacterial small subunit ribosomal RNA", at positions 355 to 889 of the family's 1533-position model. The record is from RNAcentral.
UGGGGAAUUUUGGACAAUGGGCGAAAGCCUGAUCCAGCAAUGCCGCGUGUGUGAAGAAGGCCUUCGGGUUGUAAAGCACUUUUGUCCGGAAAGAAAUCCUUGGCUCUAAUACAGUCGGGGGAUGACGGUACCGGAAGAAUAAGCACCGGCUAACUACGUGCCAGCAGCCGCGGUAAUACGUAGGGUGCAAGCGUUAAUCGGAAUUACUGGGCGUAAAGCGUGCGCAGGCGGUUUGCUAAGACCGAUGUGAAAUCCCCGGGCUCAACCUGGGAACUGCAUUGGUGACUGGCAGGCUAGAGUAUGGCAGAGGGGGGUAGAAUUCCACGUGUAGCAGUGAAAUGCGUAGAGAUGUGGAGGAAUACCGAUGGCGAAGGCAGCCCCCUGGCAAGUACUGACGCUCAUGCACGAAAAGCGUGGGGAGCAAACAGGAUUAGAUACCCUGGUAGUCCACGCCCUAAAACGAUGUCAACUAGUUGUUGGGGGAUUCAUUUCCUUAGUAACGUAGCUAACGCGUGAAGUUGACCGCCUGGGGGAGUACGGUCGC